UGAUGAAUUUUGGACAAUGGGCGCAAGCCUGAUCCAGCCAUGCCGCGUGCGGGAAGAAGGCCUUCGGGUUGUAAACCGCCUUUGUCAGGGAAGAAAUCCUUUGAGCUAAUACCUCGGGGGGAUGACGGUACCUGAAGAAUAAGCACCGGCUAACUACGUGCCAGUAGCCGCGGUAAUACGUAGGGUGCAAGCGUUAAUCGGAAUUACUGGGCGUAAAGCGUGCGCAGGCGGUUAUGCACGACAGAUGUGAAAUCCCCGGGCUUAACCUGGGAACUGCGUUUGUGACUGCGAGACUUGAGUGCGGCAGAGGGGGGUGGAAUUCCACGUGUAGCAGUGAAAUGCGUAGAUAUGCGGAGGAACACCGAUGGCGAAGGCAAUCCCCUGGGCCUGCACUGACGCUCAUGCACGAAAGCGUGGGGAGCAAACA
Molecule: ribosomal RNA, 427 nt
Filed under: uncultured bacterium
Lineage: Bacteria
Description: bacterial SSU rRNA
Rfam family: Bacterial small subunit ribosomal RNA
Source: RNAcentral